RNAcentral lists this small RNA (105 nucleotides) under Epilithonimonas pallida. RNAcentral's name for it is "Flavo-1 RNA". It matches the Rfam family "Flavo-1 RNA". Lineage: Bacteria; Pseudomonadati; Bacteroidota; Flavobacteriia; Flavobacteriales; Weeksellaceae. The record is from RNAcentral.
CUCGCAGCCCGACUUGAGCGGAAAUCCUUUUUUGCUUAUACAAAUGUUCUAUUUUAUGUGGAAUCUUCGUGCAAAAAAGAUUGGGAGCGGAAGGCGGAAAUAGCU